Molecule: non-coding RNA, 93 nt
Organism: Pelobates cultripes (western spadefoot toad)
Lineage: Eukaryota; Metazoa; Chordata; Amphibia; Anura; Pelobatidae
Source: the annotation of a GenBank genome assembly
CUCCAGAUGUUGCUGAACUACAACUCCAAUGAUUCUCAGCCUAUCUAUUUCAUUCAUAGAAUCAUUGGAGUUGUAGUUCAGCAACAUCUGGAG